CUUCAAGUCAUCAUGGCCCUUACGGCCAGGGCUACACACGUACUACAAUGGUAGGGACAGAGGGCUGCAAGCCGGCGACGGUAAGCCAAUCCCAGAAACCCUAUCUCAGUCCGGAUUGGAGUCUGCAACUCGACUCCAUGAAGUCGGAAUCGCUAGUAAUCGCAGAUCAGCAUUGCUGCGGUGAAUACGUUCCCGGGCCUUGUACACACCGCCCGUCACACCAUGGGAGUUUGUUGCACCAGAAGCAGGUAGCUUAACCUUCGGGAGGGCGCUUGCCACGGUGUGGCCGAUGACUGGGGUGAAGUCGUAACAAGGUAGCCGUAUCGGAAGGUGCGGUUGGAUCACACCNA
RNAcentral lists this ribosomal RNA (350 nucleotides) under Stenotrophomonas maltophilia. RNAcentral describes it as "bacterial SSU rRNA". It matches the Rfam family "Bacterial small subunit ribosomal RNA", at positions 1183 to 1533 of the family's 1533-position model. Lineage: Bacteria; Pseudomonadati; Pseudomonadota; Gammaproteobacteria; Lysobacterales; Lysobacteraceae. The record is from RNAcentral.